This 250-nucleotide unclassified non-coding RNA is filed under the name plant metagenome. RNAcentral describes it as "partial contains small subunit ribosomal RNA, internal transcribed spacer 1, and 5.8S ribosomal RNA". The record is from RNAcentral.
GUAGGUGAACCUGCGGAAGGAUCAUUAACACGUAUCCAACGUUAAACAACCCUGUGAACCUUCAGCUUGCUCGCGGCAGCAAUCCCUAGUAAAUCAUUGUUGAACAGCUUUUGAUUUAGGGACCUCUGUUUUGUCUACGCUCGUAGCGAUGGACGCAAUGCAUCCCCAAGCAGUCAUUGUUCUGAAAGUGUCUUGGAUUGUGUAAGGGUGGCGCAAUCGAUCGUUGGAGGCCGACACGGCCGACGACCGG